This 425-nucleotide ribosomal RNA is filed under the name uncultured Pseudomonadaceae bacterium. Its description in RNAcentral is "bacterial SSU rRNA". It matches the Rfam family "Bacterial small subunit ribosomal RNA", at positions 356 to 774 of the family's 1533-position model. The record is from RNAcentral. Lineage: Bacteria; Pseudomonadati; Pseudomonadota; Gammaproteobacteria; Pseudomonadales; Pseudomonadaceae.
GGGGAAUAUUGGACAAUGGGCGAAAGCCUGAUCCAGCCAUGCCGCGUGUGUGAAGAAGGUCUUCGGAUUGUAAAGCACUUUAAGUUGCGAGGAAGGGCAGUUACCUAAUACGUGAUUGUCUUGACGUUACCGACAGAAUAAGCACCGGCUAACUCUGUGCCAGCAGCCGCGGUAAUACAGAGGGUGCAAGCGUUAAUCGGAAUUACUGGGCGUAAAGCGCGCGUAGGUGGUUAGUUAAGUUGGAUGUGAAAUCCCCGGGCUCAACCUGGGAACUGCAUUCAAACCGGAUUGACUGGGGUAGGGUGGAGGUUGGUGAAAUUUCUUGUGUAGCGGUGAAUGGGUAAGUAAUAGGAAGGAACACAGGGGACGAGGCGACCCACCGGGACUGAUACGACAACGAGGUUGGAAAGCGGUGGGAGCAUACA